GCACACGAUCGAAAACCAAUUGUAAACUAAACAUGUAGAAAUCUAUUUAGUAGCUUGUUUGGACGAGGGUUCGAAUCCCUCCGGCUCCACGA
Molecule: transfer-messenger RNA, 92 nt
Filed under: Bacteroidia bacterium
Lineage: Bacteria; Pseudomonadati; Bacteroidota; Bacteroidia
Description: partial transfer-messenger RNA
Rfam family: transfer-messenger RNA
About the family: Bacterial tmRNA, also known as 10Sa RNA or SsrA, is named for its dual tRNA and mRNA-like properties. Its role is to liberate the mRNA from a stalled ribosome. To accomplish this part of the tmRNA is used as a reading frame that ends in a translation stop signal.
Source: RNAcentral